Molecule: ribosomal RNA, 253 nt
Filed under: uncultured bacterium
Lineage: Bacteria
Description: partial 16S ribosomal RNA
Rfam family: Bacterial small subunit ribosomal RNA
Source: RNAcentral
UACGGGGGGGGCAAGCGUUGUUCGGAAUUACUGGGCGUAAAGGGCUCGUAGGUGGCCAACUAAGUCAUGCGUGAAAUCCCUCGGCUUAACCGGGGAACUGCGUCUGAUACUGGAUGGCUUGAGUUUGGGAGAGGGACGCGGAAUUCCAGGUGUAGCGGUGAAAUGCGUAGAUAUCUGGAGGAACACCGGUGGCGAAGGCGGCGUCCUGGACCAAUACUGACACUGAGGAGCGAAAGCCAGGGGAGCAAACGGG